RNAcentral lists this RNase P RNA (343 nucleotides) under Polysiphonia stricta. Its description in RNAcentral is "rnpB". The stretch from base 1 to 291 matches the Rfam family "Bacterial RNase P class A", at positions 43 to 321 of the family's 367-position model. Rfam says of the family: Ribonuclease P (RNase P) is a ubiquitous endoribonuclease, found in archaea, bacteria and eukarya as well as chloroplasts and mitochondria. The record is from RNAcentral. Lineage: Eukaryota; Rhodophyta; Florideophyceae; Ceramiales; Rhodomelaceae.
GAGGAAAGUCCGGGCUCUAAUUAUAAAAAUAUAGUUGUAUAAAUACAGUGUAGGAAACUAUCAGGAUCGUGCCACAGAAAUAGACCGCCUGUUAUAGGGUAAGGGUGCAAUGGUUCGUUAAGAGCGCACCAGAAAUACUAUCAAGGUAUUUGCUAGGUAAACCCCGUAUUAGAGCAAAGUGAUUAACAUAUAUUGUUCAGUAUUGUUUUUAUAAAUUUUACUAAUAAAAUAUUAUUGUUAAUUUAUGUACACUGCAAGAAGUAAUUUUUUACUAAAGAUUAAUGAUUACCCUUUUUAGAAUCUAUUUUAUAGUUAAUACUAAAAAGAACUAAAUCCGGCUUAU